CUACGGGUCGCUCCAGUGGGGAAUCUUGCACAAUGGGGGAAACCCUGAUGCAGCGACGCCGCGUGAGCGAUGAAGUCCUUCGGGGCGUAAAGCUCUUUCAGUGGGAACGAUAAUGACGGUACCCACAGAAGAAGCUGCGGCUAACUACGUGCCAGCAGCCGCGGUAAUACGUAGGCAGCAAGCGGUGUUCGGAGUUACUGGGCGUAAAGAGUGCGUAGGCGGUUCCGUAAGUUCGGUGUGAAAUCUGCUGGCUUAACUGGGAGGGUGCGCCGGAAACUGCGGAGCUUGAGCACGGGAGAGGAAAGCGGAAUUCCUGGUGUAGCGGUGAAAUGCGUAGAUAUCAGGAGGAACACCGGUGGUGUAGACGGCUUUCUGGACCGUUGCUGACGCUGAGGCACGAAAGCGUGGGGAGCAAACAGGAUUAGAUACCCCAGUAGUC
This 439-nucleotide ribosomal RNA is filed under the name uncultured bacterium. RNAcentral describes it as "partial 16S ribosomal RNA". It matches the Rfam family "Bacterial small subunit ribosomal RNA", at positions 339 to 795 of the family's 1533-position model. The record is from RNAcentral.